AACCCAUGGUGAGGGCAUCUUUUUAAUAAGUCUUUGUAUCUCUCCCAUACAUCAUAUAGAUUUUCUAGAUCCAUCUACACAAAAGAAGAGAUAUCAUUCCUCAAUUU
Molecule: non-coding RNA, 107 nt
Organism: Gossypium arboreum
Lineage: Eukaryota; Viridiplantae; Streptophyta; Magnoliopsida; Malvales; Malvaceae
Source: Rfam